RNAcentral lists this ribosomal RNA (253 nucleotides) under uncultured bacterium. RNAcentral describes it as "partial 16S ribosomal RNA". It matches the Rfam family "Bacterial small subunit ribosomal RNA", at positions 524 to 776 of the family's 1533-position model. The record is from RNAcentral.
UACGGAGGGGGCUAGCGUUGUUCGGAAUUACUGGGCGUAAAGCGCACGUAGGCGGACUGUUAAGUCAGGGGUGAAAUCCUGGAGCUCAACUCCAGAACUGCCUUUGAUACUGGGAAGCUCGAGUCCGGAAGAGGUGAGUGGAACUCCGAGUGUAGAGGUGAAAUUCGUAGAUAUUCGGAAGAACACCAGUGGCGAAGGCGGCUCACUGGUCCGGUACUGACGCUGAGGUGCGAAAGCGUGGGGAGCAAACAGG